RNAcentral lists this unclassified non-coding RNA (1218 nucleotides) under Caenorhabditis elegans. RNAcentral's name for it is "Non-coding transcript of protein-coding gene Y69A2AR.1f". The record is from RNAcentral. Lineage: Eukaryota; Metazoa; Nematoda; Chromadorea; Rhabditida; Rhabditidae.
AUGUUCAUCAAAAAAUGGACGUGUAAGCAGCUCGACUAUAACAUUUGCACAGAAUUCAAUCAACCACAGCACUUGCGUCGUCUCGUUCACAUGUUCAAGCCGACAGAUAUAACAGUUUCGUUGCAUUUCGGACCAUAUAUUCCCUCGGCGACUGCCCAUGAGCCCAACUCAAUGCACAAUCACUUGGCUGCGCUCUCUGAUACGACGCUGGCAAUGGAAAAGGAUUUCCGGCUGGAUUGUGCUCACGCGUUGAGCUUGCCUCCAGAUUCGUCGAAAAAGGAGCUCGGAAUGCUGUACGGAGAAGCUGGAAAAGGACGAGCAUUCGGAAUUCAAAUGCUCCGGACUCUCACCGCGAUCCGUAAAUUCGUUGGAAUGAUGGCCGAGAAGCGAAUGGCGCAGACGAAGGGUGUCGCGAUUCGCAAAUUUGUCGUCAACGGCCCGGGCAUUCAUGACAAGCCAUGUGCAAAACUGCAACAACUGCUCAAGGAGGAUGGUCUCGACGAGGCUAACAAGAUGCGCGGCGCCUAUGCUACUGGAGAAAGGGUUUUUUCCUGAAUUUUGAUCUCAAAAUUUGAAAAUUCGUCGAAUUUUGACCAAAAAAUUUGAAAAUUCCUGAAUUUUGGCCUAAAAAUCAGAAAAUUCCUUAAUUUUGGCCUAAAAAUCAGAAAAUUCCUUAAUUUUGGCCUAAAAAUCUGAACACUCCCCGAAUUUCGACCUAAAAAGCUCAAAAGUCCCAAAAAUUUCGACCUCAAUAUCUGAAAAUUCCUUAAUUAUGUGAAAAAAAAAGAUAAAAAUCUAAUUUUUCCCCCCGAUUUGUAGGUGUACGUUUGCGUGCGGAACGAUCUCCGUCGAGCCUUCAAGUACUCUUUGGCAAUGCCAGCCACCGCAUUCAAAAUGUCAAUCGGAAAUGAGCAAUUAUUGCUCUUCACUAAGUCUGUGCCGGUUUUUCAUUGCUUUUUCCGCACAAAUGUCGACGAACAAGGCGUCGUGCAGCUCAUUACGGAAUGGCAAAAAGGCGAGCGUAACAUUGAAGAAAUCCAACUGCACCUGGAUCGAGUGAUUGAGCCCAAUUUCGUAGAUCAUUUGAACGCGGAUCACGCGGAUCCAAAGCGCGUCAAAGUUCGACGAGUUGUAAACGGCCGCAAAACCACGCUGUACAUUGAACGAGAUCGUCUGGGAUCCCGCCAUCUCGCCUUGAGAACACUGGACACUAAAUAA